CGCGAAUGGCUCAUUACAACAGCAAUAAUUGACUUGACGAUAUAUUCCUUAAACGGAUAACUGUGGUAAUUCUAGAGCUAAUACAUGAAUUUAAGCAGAGUGUCUUUGGCGCUCUGUUCAUUUAUUAGACCAAAACCAAGCGGCCUCGGUCGUUUAUUUCGGUGACUCGUAGUAAUUUCGUUGAUCACAUGAUCUUGUAUCGGUGACACGUCUAUCAAGUUUCUGCCCUAUCAACUUUUGAUGGUUCUUUAUUGGAGAACCAUGGUUAUAACGGGUAACGGAGAAUUAGGGUUCGACUCCGGAGAGGGAGCCUGAGAAACGGCUACCACAUCCAAGGAAGGCAGCAGGCGCGAAAAUUACCCACUCUCAGUGCGAGGAGGUAGUGACGAAAAAUAACAAGGCUGAUCGCUUUGCGAGCAGCUAUUGGAAUGGGUACAAUUUAAACCCUUUAACGAGGACCUAUGAGAGGGCAAGUCUGGUGCCAGCAGCCGCGGUAAUUCCAGCU
RNAcentral lists this ribosomal RNA (505 nucleotides) under Steinernema feltiae. RNAcentral describes it as "SSU rRNA". It matches the Rfam family "Eukaryotic small subunit ribosomal RNA", at positions 88 to 590 of the family's 1831-position model. The record is from RNAcentral. Lineage: Eukaryota; Metazoa; Nematoda; Chromadorea; Rhabditida; Steinernematidae.